This is a long non-coding RNA of Ctenopharyngodon idella (grass carp), 488 nucleotides long. RefSeq lists it as uncharacterized. NCBI's taxonomy places the organism in Eukaryota, Metazoa, Chordata, Actinopteri, Cypriniformes, Xenocyprididae. The record is from RefSeq and is a predicted model, not a curated record. The transcript is spliced from 3 exons.
GAAACAGACAGUUUCAACAUAACAAAUUAUGGGGGGAAAUAUGAAGUAAGAAUGAAUGAGACGGCUGAAGGCAUAGAGCUGUGGUUUUUGUCAAAUAAAUCAAAAUGUGUGCAAGUCACAAAUCCAGUAUGCACUGUGACUAGCAACAGUAACACCACAACCCUCGUCCACACCCUCGUCUGCACCCUAAAUGGAAACUCACAUCCAGGGAAAGGAAGCAAUUAUGUUCUUCAUUUUAAUGGGAGUGAAUGGAUGUGUGUCAAAUCUGUUGAUAAAAGAUCAUCCACUGUUACACCACUGUCACACACCACCACUAACAAUCCAACUACCAGUUUCACAGCACCAGAGAUAACUUACAAUCCAACUAUUAGUUUCAAAUCACCGGUGACAAUCCAACUACCAACUACCAUUCUCCAAACAUCUGAGAUAAUUUACAAUCUAACUACAGAUGAUCUAAAAGACAAGGAUGGAUUUAUUAAUCCCUCAAA